UAGAGUUUGAUCAUGGCUCAGAGUGAACGCUGGCGGCAGGCCUAACACAUGCAAGUCGAACGGCAGCACAGAGGAGCUUGCUCCUUGGGUGGCGAGUGGCGGACGGGUGAGGAAUACGUCGGAAUCUGCCUAUUUGUGGGGGAUAACGUAGGGAAACUUACGCUAAUACCGCAUACGACCUACGGGUGAAAGUGGGGGACCGCAAGGCCUCACGCAGAUAGAUGAGCCGACGUCGGAUUAGCUAGUUGGCGGGGUAAAGGCCCACCAAGGCGACGAUCCGUAGCUGGUCUGAGAGGAUGAUCAGCCACACUGGAACUGAGACACGGUCCAGACUCCUACGGGAGGCAGCAGUGGGGAAUAUUGGACAAUGGGCGCAAGCCUGAUCCAGCCAUGCCGCGUGUGUGAAGAAGGCCUUCGGGUUGUAAAGCACUUUUGUCCGGAAAGAAAAGCUUAGGGUUAAUAACCCUGAGUCAUGACGGUACCGGAAGAAUAAGCACCGGCUAACUUCGUGCCAGCAGCCGCGGUAAUACGAAGGGUGCAAGCGUUACUCGGAAUUACUGGGCGUAAAGCGUGCGUAGGUGGUUUGUUAAGUCUGAUGUGAAAGCCCUGGGCUCAACCUGGGAAUGGCAUUGGAAACUGGCUUACUAGAGUGCGGUAGAGGGUAGCGGAAUUCCCGGUGUAGCAGUGAAAUGCGUAGAUAUCGGGAGGAACAUCCGUGGCGAAGGCGGCUACCUGGACCAGCACGACACGAGGCACGAAAGCUG
This 764-nucleotide ribosomal RNA is filed under the name Lysobacter sp. RNAcentral describes it as "bacterial SSU rRNA". It matches the Rfam family "Bacterial small subunit ribosomal RNA", at positions 1 to 762 of the family's 1533-position model. The record is from RNAcentral. Lineage: Bacteria; Pseudomonadati; Pseudomonadota; Gammaproteobacteria; Lysobacterales; Lysobacteraceae.